UUCUACACUCAUAGAGAAUUCCAAAGAGGUAACAUGCAUUGCUAUCGGAGGUCGUUUGACCUCCUAAAUAAUUCGCCGAAGUUGGAACUUCGAUACAGUUUUUCCGUAGUGCCGGAAAAAUUUGUCAAAAUCUGAUUCUUCCUCUUUUAACCGCCUCUACAACCCUUAUCCGACCCCUCUAGACUAUAUCCACCCUUUGUAUAGCCUAAUGUCAUCAAAAGACUAGAUAGGGACGGAUAUUUACCUUUUUCUUUUUGGAAAUCGAGGUCCUUGCGUAGAGGAGAAGGAGAUCUACAUUUUUCCCUUCAGCUGAAAGUGCACCCGGGAUUCCUUUCCCUUUCUUUUUCUUCUUCUUCUUCCUCUUCUUUUCUUCCUUUCCUUUCCUCUUCUUCUUUUUCUUCCUCUCUAUCGCCUGA
This 416-nucleotide long non-coding RNA is filed under the name Phoenix dactylifera (date palm). RNAcentral's name for it is "long non-coding RNA (PDAC_LNC016857)". The record is from RNAcentral. Lineage: Eukaryota; Viridiplantae; Streptophyta; Magnoliopsida; Arecales; Arecaceae.